RNAcentral lists this unclassified non-coding RNA (313 nucleotides) under air metagenome. RNAcentral's name for it is "partial contains small subunit ribosomal RNA, internal transcribed spacer 1, and 5.8S ribosomal RNA". The stretch from base 1 to 46 matches the Rfam family "Eukaryotic small subunit ribosomal RNA", at positions 1786 to 1831 of the family's 1831-position model. The record is from RNAcentral.
AAGUCGUAACAAGGUUUCCGUAGGUGAACCUGCGGAAGGAUCAUUAUUGAAUUCAACGCGAAGUUGUGCUGGCUUUCCGAAGCAUUGUGCACGCCUAGCAUAUAUUCAACCACCUGUGAACCUAUUGUAGAUCUGAGAGAUUUAUUUCAAGGAAACUUGGUUAGAGAGUCUGGCGUACCUAUUUACGGGUUCGACUGCUCUUGCUUUCUCAGAUCUAUGCUUUACACACCCGAUACAAUGUUAUAGAAUGUAUUACUGGCCUUAAAAAGCCUCUAACUUUAUACAACUUUCAACAACGGAUCUCUUGGCUCUC